AGUGAACGCUGGCGGCGUGCUUAACACAUGCAAGUCGAACGAGAAACGGAUUUAGCUUGCUAAAUUGCAGUCUAAGUGGCGCACGGGUGAGUAAUGUAUAGAUAAUAUGCCUUUUACUAAGGGAUAACAGUUGGAAACGGCUGCUAAUACCUUAUAUGCCUUAAUACAUAAGUAUGCAAGGGAAAGAUUUAUUGGUAAGUGAUUAGUCUGUAUUGUAUCAGUUAGUUGGUGAGGUAAUGGCUCACCAAGACUAUGACGCAUAACUGGUUUGAGAGGAUGAUCAGUCACACUGGAACUGAGACACGGUCCAGACUCCUACGGGAGGCAGCAGUGGGGAAUAUUGCACAAUGGGGGAAACCCUGAUGCAGCAACGCCGCGUGGAGGAUGACACAUUUCGGUGCGUAAACUCCUUUUAUAUAGGAAGAUAAUGACGGUACUAUAUGAAUAAGCACCGGCUAACUCCGUGCCAGCAGCCGCAGUAA
This 482-nucleotide ribosomal RNA is filed under the name uncultured bacterium. Its description in RNAcentral is "partial 16S ribosomal RNA". It matches the Rfam family "Bacterial small subunit ribosomal RNA", at positions 29 to 523 of the family's 1533-position model. The record is from RNAcentral.